AUCCCUGGGCCUGGGCCUACCUAGGUGAAGACAGGCAUUUUUGUUUUCCUGCCCGGAUGUUGCAUUUCCCAAGACCACCCUGGCCUGCCAUGCCCUCAUCCUGUGCCUUUAAAAACCCCCGAGACCCUGGCAGGCAGACGCACAAGCAGCUGGACAUUGAGAGGAGCAUAUAGGCAGAGAAUACAGGGGCUGCUGGAUGUCGAAAGGAACGCACCAGCAUAGGAGCACACCGGCAUGCUGGCAGGCCAUUGACCAGCGGAAGAAUGCAGAGUUUGUCGCGGGAGGUCAGAGAAGAGUCAGGCCGCCAUACCUGACUCCAGGAGAAAACCGUCUCCCUUCUGGUUCCCCCGUCUGCCGAGAGCUACUUCCACUCAAUAAAACUUUCCACUCAUUCUUCAAGCCCACGUGUGAUCCAAUUCUUCCCGUACACCAAGAAACAGGGUCUUGCUCUGUUGCCCUGGCUGGAGUGCAAUGGUAUGAUCAUAGCUCACAGUAGCCUUGAACUCCUGGGCCCAAGCCAUCCUCCUACCUCAGCAACCAGAGUAGCUGGGAUUACAGGCGAAUGCCACCACACCUGGAUGGAGUCUCACUGUCACGCAGAUUGGAGUGCAGUGGCACGAUCCUGGCUCACUGCAACCUCUGCCUCUUGGGUUCAAGCAACUCUCCUGCCCCAGCCUCCUCAGUAGCUAGGACUACAGGCCUGUGCCACAAUGCCCAGCUAAUUUCUGUAUUUUUAGUAGACAUGGGGUUUCACCGUAUUGGCCAGGCUGGUCUUGAACUCCUGACUUCAGAAUUGGAAAAAUGAAUGUAAUUUGACAUAUGUCUUGAGUCUGGUUGGCUUCUGAGGAACUUGUGUGCAUCUCAUCAGUAUGCAUCUUAAGAACUGAAAUGACCCUACUUCAGCAUUGUGAGAAGACAUGCAUUCUCUUCGUAUAAAUAAUGUGGAUCUUACAUGUAAAGUAUUAUAAAGAUUAGCUGUUUAACAACUUAAAUAAGCUUGUGAAUAAUAAAUUAAUAACAAUGUUAUGCUAAUACGUAACUAUGAUAUUUGCUGAACAAAAUAAAUUUGCCUACUUUGGAAGCAGAUUGGGUGGUUUAAUAUAUCAGCAAAAGAGUGUUUUUAAAAAAUAUCAAAGUUCUGUUAAUCAAAACGUUUAUUGUAGGACAGUUAGUAAUGUUUUGUUUGCCAACUUAUAUUACAAAGUCUCUGUCUUAAGUGUUUCCUUGCAAAUAAAAUGACAAUACUGCCUUACAUUUUAUUACUUUAGAGUUUGCAAAAUAUCUUCAUUAUAAUAUUUCAUUUAGUAGACAUGCCUAUGGGAACAUUACUUCCAGAAUUAAAAACAUUAUUUUUGUUUUGGUAUAUUUUUAAACUACAAAUGAUAGAAAGGCAAGUAAAUGUAAGUUUUUCUCUAGUUAUUUGUUCAAAUGCUAAUUUAAAACAUUUGUACAUUUCUAAUACAAACAUUCCUUAUUUGAGAAAAAAUGGAUUUCUUAAAAACAAAAUGCAUUUUAAAGCAGAGAGACAGGGCAUUGAGCUGAAAAUGGUGGCUGGAAGUUGGGAUCUGUAAGAGAAGUUGAAUGUGCCCCGAGGCAUAAAGCUGCUAAUUUUGUUUUAUUGGAUUUUACUGUAGCUAUUAAUAUAUUUUGCUGGAGAUUUAUGUGAUCAAUUUAUCUUAUGGCCAGAACUAAUUCCCUUAGUAUAUUUUAUUAGAAUAUGUGACUUUUUCUAAAUUUAGCUUUAUUUUUCAUAUUUUCCAUAAAUGGCAAAGAUUCUAUGUUUCCAGACAUGUUAAGUAUUGCAAGAAUUAUUGGAGCACCUAAAGAUAAAUAAUAUCAAAAUAGUGUCAUUGUUUCCCUUAGUUUCUCCUUCUCCCCCACAAAUAAACCAAGAGGUAUUUAGUUAUACUAUUGCAUGUCUCUAGCUUUAUUGGAUUCUUCCAUGAAAGAAAAAUGGAUUACAUUUUUGGUUGUGUGGCCCUCGUUGCCCUAUUGCACUUUUGAUAAUAUUUGCCUGUGACAAGUAGUUAUUUUUCAUUACCACAUUCAAUCAUGGGUAAUAAAAUAUUUUAAUAAUGGUGAAUGUGAAGUUAAUUAAUAACCCGCAGGUAUGGCAGCUAGACAGGAUUGCUCUCCAUCUCAAACACAAGGAAAACAAUUCCAUCGGUAGUUAUAAAUUUGCAUAUGAAUGUCAAAUAUAUGAGGUUUUGAAUAAAAAUCAUUUCUGAGUAAAA
RNAcentral lists this long non-coding RNA (2234 nucleotides) under Homo sapiens (human). Its description in RNAcentral is "AGA divergent transcript, transcript variant 9 (AGA-DT)". Lineage: Eukaryota; Metazoa; Chordata; Mammalia; Primates; Hominidae. The record is from RNAcentral.